Molecule: ribosomal RNA, 492 nt
Filed under: uncultured bacterium
Lineage: Bacteria
Description: partial 16S ribosomal RNA
Rfam family: Bacterial small subunit ribosomal RNA
Source: RNAcentral
AGUGAACGCUGGCGGUAGGCCUAACACAUGCAAGUCGAACGGCAGCACAGUAAGAGCUUGCUCUUACGGGUGGCGAGUGGCGGACGGGUGAGGAAUACAUCGGAAUCUACUUUUUCGUGGGGGAUAACGUAGGGAAACUUACGCUAAUAACGCAUACGACCUACGGGUGAAAGCAGGGGAUCUUCGGACCUUGCGCGAUUGAAUGAGCCGAUGUCGGAUUAGCUAGUUGGCGGGGUAAAGGCCCACCAAGGCGACGAUCCGUAGCUGGUCUGAGAGGAUGAUCAGCCACACUGGAACUGAGACACGGUCAAGACUCCUACGGGAGGCAGCAGUGGGGAAUAUUGGACAACGGGCGCAAGCCUGAUCCAGCCAUACCGCGUGGGUGGAGAAGGCCUUCGGGUUGUAAAGCCCUUUUGUUGGGAAAGAAAAGCAGCAGGUUAAUACGCCGCUGUCCUGACGGUACCCAAAGAAUAAGCACCGGCUAACUUCGUG